Long non-coding RNA from Chelonoidis abingdonii (Abingdon island giant tortoise), 808 nucleotides. RefSeq lists it as uncharacterized. Lineage: Eukaryota; Metazoa; Chordata; Testudines; Testudinidae. The record is from RefSeq and is a predicted model, not a curated record.
GGAGGAACCAGGAAUGCAAUGACAACUAUUGAACAGCCCAGGUGGCUCAGGAUGAGGAGAUUGCUAGAUAUAUGCAGAACCAGGAACUGAAAGCCCAGUGGAGAUCCCAUGAGACAAACCUGGAGACAGAGAACAGUGAUGAGGGAAGCAACUUAUCUGAGCCAAGGAGAAGCAAGGACAAGAAGCUGCCCAGUCACACACUGUCCCAGUUGAUGGCCAUCGGACCUGCCUUUAUUCACCGACCAAACGUCAGCCUGAAAAGCUAGGAUACCAAAAAUCCAGGGACAAGAAGGAAGGUUGUAAGCAGCAGUGAAUCCUAGAGCCUUCACCUACAGCCUACUUCUUCUAGAACAACAAAACAUAUUUCUUCCCCAUAAUUAAGAGGAGAAAAUAAUGGCUUGAAAAUAUUUUCCAGAAAAUAUUGAAGAAACUAAACUUGAAAAGAUGUGAACAAUAGCUUCACAUUUCUCUUGAAGACUGUCAUGUAAGUUGAGGAACUGCAAACUUCUCUGACAUGCUGCAAGGGAAUGGAGCUUUUCAGCUGUGUCUACUGUAUAUAUGAUGAUAAAUGGGGGUUGUUCACAAGCACGAUUAUUUCACAAGAACAUGUGCUUCUUUGGAAUCUAGAGUGGGAACAGGCCAUUCAUUGUGAACAUAGUAAAGGCAGGUAUUACUGGAAUAUGUUCUAGGAAGUCCAUGAGCCGAUGGCUAACCCUUUAAUAUUUUAUAAAGACACUUCACAGAUCACUAUUGAUUAUUCAAAUACUGUAAAAGUUUUGAGAUAUGUUAAAUAGAUUUGCUACAGACA